CUGGUGGCGAGUGGCGAACGGGUGAGUAAUACAUCCGAACGUGUCCUGGAGUGGGGGAUAGCCCGGCGAAAGCCGGAUUAAUACCGCAUACGAUCUUGGGAUGAAAGCGGGGGACCGAAAGGCCUCGCGCUCAAGGGGCGGCCGAUGGCAGAUUAGCUAGUUGGUGGGGUAAAGGCCUACCAAGGCGACGAUCUGUAGCUGGUCUGAGAGGACGACCAGCCACACUGGGACUGAGACACGGCCCAGACUCCUACGGGAGGCAGCAGUGGGGAAUUUUGGACAAUGGGGGCAACCCUGAUCCAGCAAUGCCGCGUGUGUGAAGAAGGCCUUCGGGUUGUAAAGCACUUUUGUCCGGAAAGAAAACCUCCGUCCUAAUACGGUGGGGGGAUGACGGUACCGGAAGAAUAAGCACCGGCUAACUACGUGCCAGCAGCCGCGGUAAUACGUAGGGUGCAAGCGUUAAUCGGAAUUACUGGGCGUAAAGCGUGCGCAGGCGGUUCGCUAAGACCGAUGUGAAAUCCCCGGGCUUAACCUGGGAACUGCAUUGGUGACUGGCGGGCUAGAGUAUGGCAGAGGGGGGUAGAAUUCCACGUGUAGCAGUGAAAUGCGUAGAGAUGUGGAGGAAUACCGAUGGCGAAGGCAGCCCCCUGGGCCAAUACUGACGCUCAUGCACGAAAGCGUGGGGAGCAAACAG
Molecule: ribosomal RNA, 694 nt
Filed under: Burkholderia sp. Mi153
Lineage: Bacteria; Pseudomonadati; Pseudomonadota; Betaproteobacteria; Burkholderiales; Burkholderiaceae
Description: bacterial SSU rRNA
Rfam family: Bacterial small subunit ribosomal RNA
Source: RNAcentral